GUGGGCGUAGCUCAGUUGGUAGAGCAUCAGAUUGUGGUUCUGAACGUCGCGGGUUCGAGCCCCGUCGCUCACCCCA
Molecule: transfer RNA, 76 nt
Filed under: bacterium
Lineage: Bacteria
Description: tRNA-His
Rfam family: tRNA
About the family: Transfer RNA (tRNA) molecules are approximately 80 nucleotides in length. Their secondary structure includes four short double-helical elements and three loops (D, anti-codon, and T loops).
Source: RNAcentral